RNAcentral lists this small nuclear RNA (107 nucleotides) under Carlito syrichta (Philippine tarsier). The record is from RNAcentral. Lineage: Eukaryota; Metazoa; Chordata; Mammalia; Primates; Tarsiidae.
GUGUUUGCUUCAGCAUUAUAUAUACUAAAAUUGGAAUGAUACAGAAAGGAUUAUCAUGGCCACUGCACAAGGAUAACAUGCAAAUCUGUGAAGCAUUCCUUAUAUUU